This 499-nucleotide ribosomal RNA is filed under the name uncultured bacterium. RNAcentral describes it as "partial 16S ribosomal RNA". It matches the Rfam family "Bacterial small subunit ribosomal RNA", at positions 28 to 507 of the family's 1533-position model. The record is from RNAcentral.
GAUGAACGCUGGCGGCGUGCCUAAUACAUGCAAGUCGAGCGAACAGACGAGAGUGCUUGCACUCUCUGACGUUAGCGGCGGACGGGUGAGUAACACGUGGGUAACCUACCUAUAAGACUGGGAUAACUUCGGGAAACCGGAGCUAAUACCGGAUAAUAUUUAGCUUCGCAUGAAGCAAUAGUGAAAGACGGUUCUGCUGUCACCUAUAGAUGGACCCGCGGUGUAUUAGCUAGUUGGUGAGGUAACGGCUCACCAAGGCAACGAUACAUAGCCGACCUGAGAGGGUGAUCGGCCACACUGGGACUGAGACACGGCCCAGACUCCUACGGGAGGCAGCAGUAGGGAAUCUUCCGCAAUGGACGAAAGUCUGACGGAGCAAUGCCGCGUGAGUGAAGAAGGUUUUCGGAUCGUAAAACUCUGUUGUAAGGGAAGAACAAGUACGUUAGUAACUGAACGUACCUUGACGGUACCUUACCAGAAAGCCACGGCUAACUACGUG